UAUUCUGGUGUUAUAUGUGUAGAGGAACCACACCAUCCUCUCCGAACUUGGUGGUUAAACUCUAUUUCGGUGACGAUACUACCGGGGGGACCCCGUGGGAAAAUAGCUCAAUGCCAGAUA
RNAcentral lists this ribosomal RNA (120 nucleotides) under Monotropsis odorata (sweet pinesap). Lineage: Eukaryota; Viridiplantae; Streptophyta; Magnoliopsida; Ericales; Ericaceae. The record is from RNAcentral.